RNAcentral lists this ribosomal RNA (460 nucleotides) under uncultured bacterium. RNAcentral describes it as "partial 16S ribosomal RNA". It matches the Rfam family "Bacterial small subunit ribosomal RNA", at positions 338 to 795 of the family's 1533-position model. The record is from RNAcentral.
CCUACGUGAGGCAGCAGUGAGGAAUAUUGGUCAAUGGGCUUACGCCUGAACCAGCCAAGUCGCGUGAGGGAAGACUGCCCUAUGGGUUGUCAACCUCUUUUGUCAGGGAGCAACGCCGGCUACGUGUAGCCGGACUGAGAGUACCUUAAGAAAAAGCAUCGGCUAACUCCGUGCCAGCAGCCGCGGUAAUACGGAGGAUGCGAGCGUUAUUCUGAUUUAUUGGGUUUAAAGGGUACGUAGGCGGAAUGCCAAGUCAGCGGUAAAAUCGCGGGGCUCAAUCUCGCUCCGACGUUGAAACUGGCGGUCUUGAGUGGGCGAGAAGUAUGCGGAAUGCGUGGUGUAGCGGUGAAAUGCAUAGAUAUCACGCAGAACUCCGAUUGCGAAGGCAGCAUACCGGCGCCCAACUGACGCUGAAGCACGAAAGCGUGGGUAUCGAACAGGAUUAGAUACCCUUGUAGUC